RNAcentral lists this ribosomal RNA (465 nucleotides) under uncultured Klebsiella sp. RNAcentral describes it as "bacterial SSU rRNA". It matches the Rfam family "Bacterial small subunit ribosomal RNA", at positions 338 to 795 of the family's 1533-position model. Lineage: Bacteria; Pseudomonadati; Pseudomonadota; Gammaproteobacteria; Enterobacterales; Enterobacteriaceae. The record is from RNAcentral.
CCUACGGGCGGCUGCAGUGGGGAAUAUUGCACAAUGGGCGCAAGCCUGAUGCAGCCAUGCCGCGUGUGUGAAGAAGGCCUUCGGGUUGUAAAGCACUUUCAGCGGGGAGGAAGGCGGUGAGGUUAAUAACCUCAUCGAUUGACGUUACCCGCAGAAGAAGCACCGGCUAACUCCGUGCCAGCAGCCGCGGUAAUACGGAGGGUGCAAGCGUUAAUCGGAAUUACUGGGCGUAAAGCGCACGCAGGCGGUCUGUCAAGUCGGAUGUGAAAUCCCCGGGCUCAACCUAGGAACUGCAUUCGAAACUGGCAGGCUAGAGUCUUGUAGAGGGGGGUAGAAUUCCAGGUGUAGCGGUGAAAUGCGUAGAGAUCUGGAGGAAUACCGGUGGCGAAGGCGGCCCCCUGGACAAAGACUGACGCUCAGGUGCGAAAGCGUGGGGAGCAAACAGGAUUAGAUACCCCGGUAGUC